This 101-nucleotide transfer RNA is filed under the name Armillaria gallica. RNAcentral's name for it is "tRNA-Asp". Lineage: Eukaryota; Fungi; Basidiomycota; Agaricomycetes; Agaricales; Physalacriaceae. The record is from RNAcentral.
UCUCUGAUAGUAUAUCGGUUAGUACACGCGCCUGUCAUGAGGAUUAUUUAUAUCCCCGUCAUUAUGCGCGCGAAAGCUGGGUUCGACUCCCAGUCAGAGAG